RNAcentral lists this ribosomal RNA (3173 nucleotides) under Brenneria alni. Its description in RNAcentral is "23S ribosomal RNA". It matches the Rfam family "Bacterial large subunit ribosomal RNA". Lineage: Bacteria; Pseudomonadati; Pseudomonadota; Gammaproteobacteria; Enterobacterales; Pectobacteriaceae. The record is from RNAcentral.
GGGUUGUGAGGUUAAGCGACUAAGCGUACACGGUGGAUGCCUAGGCAGUCAGAGGCGAUGAAGGGCGUGCUAAUCUGCGAAAAGCGUCGGCAAGGUGAUAUGAACCGUAAUACCCGACGAUACCCGAAUGGGGAAACCCAGUGUGUUUCGACACACUAUCGCAACAUGAAUACAUAGUGUUGCGAGGCGAACCGGGGGAACUGAAACAUCUCAGUACCCCGAGGAAAAGAAAUCAACCGAGAUUCCCCCAGUAGCGGCGAGCGAACGGGGAGUAGCCCAGAGUGUGAAUCAGUUUGUGUGUCAGUGGAAGCGUCUGGAAAGUCGCACGACAGAGGGUGAUAGUCCCGUACACGAAGACGCAGAGGCUGUGAGCUCGAAGAGUAGGGCGGGACACGAGAUAUCCUGUCUGAAGAUGGGGGGACCAUCCUCCAAGGCUAAAUACUCCUGACUGACCGAUAGUGAACCAGUACCGUGAGGGAAAGGCGAAAAGAACCCCGGCGAGGGGAGUGAAAGAGAACCUGAAACCGUGUACGUACAAGCAGUGGGAGCCCCACCACCAAAGCGUUUGCUGUAACGUGUUGACGGAGCGAAGCGACGUCAAACCGAAUAAAACAGCAGUGCAGAUAUCGCAGGGCGCUUUGCACAUCGUGCAAAGACAGGCGAGUUCGCGCAGCGAAAGCGAAUGUUUUGGGGUGGGGUGACUGCGUACCUUUUGUAUAAUGGGUCAGCGACUUAUAUUCUGUAGCAAGGUUAACCGCAUAGGGGAGCCGUAGGGAAACCGAGUCUUAACUGGGCGUCAAGUUGCAGGGUAUAGACCCGAAACCCGGUGAUCUAGCCAUGGGCAGGUUGAAGGUUGGGUAACACUAACUGGAGGACCGAACCGACUAAUGUUGAAAAAUUAGCGGAUGACUUGUGGCUGGGGGUGAAAGGCCAAUCAAACCGGGAGAUAGCUGGUUCUCCCCGAAAGCUAUUUAGGUAGCGCCUCGUGAAUUCAUCUACGGGGGUAGAGCACUGUUUCGACUAGGGGGUCAUCCCGACUUACCAACUCGAUGCAAACUGCGAAUACCGUAGAAUGUUAUCACGGGAGACACACGGCGGGUGCUAACGUCCGUCGUGAAGAGGGAAACAACCCAGACCGCCAGCUAAGGUCCCAAAGUCAUGGUUAAGUGGGAAACGAUGUGGGAAGGCCCAGACAGCCAGGAUGUUGGCUUAGAAGCAGCCAUCAUUUAAAGAAAGCGUAAUAGCUCACUGGUCGAGUCGGCCUGCGCGGAAGAUGUAACGGGGCUAAACCAUGCACCGAAGCUGCGGCAGCGAACGUAUCACUUAAAACGCUUAACGUGACGGCGAAGCUGGCACGUUCAAGCCACACUAAACGUUGAGUCGGGCUGAGUGCCGACAGACGGCAAGGCGUUUUAAGGAUACGUUCGUUGGGUAGGGGAGCGUUCUGUAAGCCGUUGAAGGUGGCCUGUGAGGGUUGCUGGAGGUAUCAGAAGUGCGAAUGCUGACAUAAGUAACGAUAAUGCGGGUGAAAAACCCGCACGCCGGAAGACCAAGGUUUCCUGUCCAACGUUAAUCGGGGCAGGGUGAGUCGACCCCUAAGGCGAGGCCGAAAGGCGUAGUCGAUGGGAAACGGGUUAAUAUUCCCGUACUGGUUGUUACUGCGAAGGGGGGACGGAGAAAGCUAGGUUGGCCGGGCGACGGUCGUCCCGGUUUAAGCGUGAAGGUGGAUGACUUUGGAAAAUCCGGGUCAUUGUUAACACUGAGGCGUGAUGACGAGGCUCUACGGAGCUGAAGUAACCGAUGCUACGCUUCCAGGAAAAGCCUCUAAGCACCAGGUAACAAUCAAUCGUACCCCAAACCGACACAGGUGGUCAGGUAGAGAAUACUCAGGCGCUUGAGAGAACUCGGGUGAAGGAACUAGGCAAAAUGGUGCCGUAACUUCGGGAGAAGGCACGCUGGGGUUGGUGAAGUCCCUUGCGGAUGGAGCUGGACCCAGUCGCAGAUACCAGCUGGCUGCAACUGUUUAAUAAAAACACAGCACUGUGCAAACACGAAAGUGGACGUAUACGGUGUGACGCCUGCCCGGUGCCGGAAGGUUAAUUGAUGGGGUUAAGCGCAAGCUGAAGCUCUUGAUCGAAGCCCCGGUAAACGGCGGCCGUAACUAUAACGGUCCUAAGGUAGCGAAAUUCCUUGUCGGGUAAGUUCCGACCUGCACGAAUGGCGUAAUGAUGGCCAGGCUGUCUCCACCCGAGACUCAGUGAAAUUGAACUCGCUGUGAAGAUGCAGUGUACCCGCGGCAAGACGGAAAGACCCCGUGAACCUUUACUAUAGCUUGACACUGAACCUUGAGCCUUGAUGUGUAGGAUAGGUGGGAGGCAUUGAAGCGUGGACGCCAGUCUGCGUGGAGCCGACCUUGAAAUACCACCCUUUAAUGUUUGAUGUUCUAACGUGGGCCCCUGAGCGGGGUUGCGGACAGUGUCUGGUGGGUAGUUUGACUGGGGCGGUCUCCUCCCAAAGAGUAACGGAGGAGCACGAAGGUUAGCUAAUCCUGGUCGGACAUCAGGAGGUUAGUGCAAAGGCAUAAGCUAGCUUGACUGCGAGAGUGACGGCUCGAGCAGGUGCGAAAGCAGGUCUUAGUGAUCCGGUGGUUCUGCAUGGAAGGGCCAUCGCUCAACGGAUAAAAGGUACUCCGGGGAUAACAGGCUGAUACCGCCCAAGAGUUCAUAUCGACGGCGGUGUUUGGCACCUCGAUGUCGGCUCAUCACAUCCUGGGGCUGAAGUAGGUCCCAAGGGUAUGGCUGUUCGCCAUUUAAAGUGGUACGCGAGCUGGGUUUAGAACGUCGUGAGACAGUUCGGUCCCUAUCUGCCGUGGGCGUUGGAAGAUUGAGAGGGGUUGCUCCUAGUACGAGAGGACCGGAGUGAACGCACCGCUGGUGUACGGGUUGUGAUGCCAAUUGCAUUGCCCGGUAGCUAAGUGCGGAAGAGAUAACCGCUGAAAGCAUCUAAGCGGGAAACUUGCCUCGAGAUGAGUCUUCCCUGGGACAGAGUAGAGUCCCCUGAAGGGCCGUUGAAGACGACGACGUAGAUAGGCUGGGUGUGUAAGCGUAGCGAUACGUUGAGCUGACCAGUACUAAUGACCCGAGAGGCUUAACCUUACAACACCGAAGGUGUUU